This 253-nucleotide ribosomal RNA is filed under the name uncultured bacterium. RNAcentral's name for it is "partial 16S ribosomal RNA". It matches the Rfam family "Bacterial small subunit ribosomal RNA", at positions 524 to 776 of the family's 1533-position model. The record is from RNAcentral.
UACGUAGGCAGCGAGCGUUGUUCGGAGUUACUGGGCGUAAAGCGUGCGCAGGCGGCUUUGCAAGACAGAUGUGAAAUCCCCGGGCUUAACCUGGGAACUGCAUUUGUGACUGCAUGGCUGGAGUGCGGCAGAGGGGAUGGAAUUCCGGCGUGUAGCAGUGAAAUGCGUAGAUAUGCGGAGGAACACCGAUGGCGAAGGCAAUCCCCUGGGCCUGCACUGACGCUCAUGCACGAAAGCGUGGGGAGCAAACAGG